CUCUAUGGCGGCUGUGUGCAGGGCACCCUCGGGUGCGCCGGUUUUGGGAAGUCGCCGGUCGACUAACCUGCGUACAGCUGCCACCUUU
This 88-nucleotide non-coding RNA is filed under the name Pseudomonas putida. Lineage: Bacteria; Pseudomonadati; Pseudomonadota; Gammaproteobacteria; Pseudomonadales; Pseudomonadaceae. The record is from RNAcentral. RNAcentral also lists the same sequence under 4 other names.